UCCAAAUUCAGAUUCUCAGAGGCCCACUCUGGCUGCCUAUCUGUGGUUUUUUUCAACGUGUCUUCUCUAGAACUAUGUCAUUACCACCUCCAUUUAAAAUUUCCAUGAUUUUUAUUUACUCACCAUCCUGUCUGUCCUCGGUUUCCCUAGCGUAAACUCCACGAGGUCAGAACUUCAGAGCCUUUGUUGUUCAGUGUUGUUUCCCCCAGCUCACAGAAUAACGACAGAGGGUGUGGGCCCCACAGGUCUCACCCUCCCAGAGUGAGGGGGAAUGACAUUGUAGCAACGCCUUAUGGGACUUUACAUGAUAUGCAAUGUAUUCGGAUUUUUGCUUUCAGAGAGUGGAAAAUUAUAAUUUAUCUACUCAGUGCCCUCAUCUAAAGACAAUCUUUGGGAAUGUUGGACCUAUUCUAGUCACUGUAAAAAAAAAAAAAA
This 435-nucleotide long non-coding RNA is filed under the name Rattus norvegicus (Norway rat). RNAcentral's name for it is "long non-coding RNA NONRATT009799". The record is from RNAcentral. Lineage: Eukaryota; Metazoa; Chordata; Mammalia; Rodentia; Muridae.